AAAAGGCGGGCAACUGCCAUCCCCCAGCCACGCAUGCCCAGGAACUCUCAGGCAGGAACUUGGCUGUAUUAUCCUGCCUCAGAGACAAACUCAUCUAUUGUAGGCCUGGCCUGGAUUGCUGCCUCUGAAAACCAGGAAAGGUCGGUAGAAUAUCAACCAAGACAUGGGAUUUCCAGGGAGGUCUCAUUUCAAAAUGUCAUCAACAAGAACCACAUGGACCUCUAUGAGAGGGAUGAUUAAACUGGCCUGAGUUUGAAUGAAAGGAUAAUGUGUGCCCAACCUGUAACUAACACAAAGGAGGUAAAGUGGCAGAGGGUCUUGUAUGAGCAACAGCCAUUUCCUGAUAACUGUGUGGACCGGCGGUUCCUGGAAGAGCAGCUCCUGGAAGAGCUCCGGAAAAACAUCCAUGCUCGGAAAUACCAAUAUUGGGCUGUAGUAUUUGAGUCCAGUGUGUUGAUCCUGCAGCUGUGCAGUAUUUGUGUGUUUCUGGUUAUCUGGUGGCAUAUGGAUGAGGGUCUUCUGGCCCCCCACUGGCUUGUUGGGACUGUCCUGGCUUCUUCACUGAUCGGGUAUACUUUGUUUGAGCUCACUGAUGGAAGUGAAGGGCAGAAGAGUGGGCGGAUCCGGUGGGCUGAACUGAAAAGUGCCCUAGUCUUCAUUACUUUCACUUAUGGCUUUUCACCAGUGCUAAGACCCUGCCAGAGUCUGUCAGCACUGACACCUUCUAGGCCAUGUUGCUCUUCAUGCUGUUAGACCACCUCAUCUCUUUUAACUAUGGUGCCAAUGAUGCCUUUGUAUCCAUUGUAUCCAGUAACUAUCCUUGAACACGGCCGUCUUGGCUUCUGGAGGCUUGGCUUCACGCCUUCCCCAGUCCCUGCAUGUCUCCAUCAUGGUAACACUUGCCAUCCAGAUUUUUGUCCUGUGGCUCAUGUUACAGGAGAAACUAAAGGCAUGGACUCCCAAGGGCUAUGUAGUGGUUACACUGCUUUUUGCCUUUUUGGCCUUGGAAGAGCUGUGGGAGCCAUACUCUUUGCCCUUCUGUUGACUUCUCAUGUCUCAUGUCUCUGUUCAUUUUACCUCAUUCGCCUGCAGCUUUUUAAAGAAAACAUUCACGGGCCUUGGGAUACACCAUCCCCCAGCCACGGGAUGAAGCUGAAAUCAAGGAAGACUUGUCCAGGUUCCUCAGCUAAAUUAGGGACAUUCUGAUAGACUAGCCUCAUAACUAGUAUAAAACUUAAAGACAGGCCAAGUGCAGUGGCUCAUGCCUGUAAUCCCAACACUCUGGGAGGCCCGAGGCGGAUGGAUCACGAGGUCAAGAGUUUGAGACCAGCCUGGCCAACAUGGUGAAACCCCGUCUCUACUAAGAAUCCAAAAAUUAGCCAGGCGUCGUGGUACGUGCCUGUAAUCCCAACUACUUAGGAGUCUGAGGUAGGAGAAUUGCUUUAACCCGGGAGUCGGAGUUUGCAGUAAGCUGAGAUCGCACCACGGCACUCCAG
RNA transcript from Mandrillus leucophaeus (drill), 1496 nucleotides. It is a transcript of the gene named phosphatidylinositol N-acetylglucosaminyltransferase subunit C-like, with no coding region annotated. The transcript has a single exon. The record is from RefSeq and is a predicted model, not a curated record. NCBI's taxonomy places the organism in Eukaryota, Metazoa, Chordata, Mammalia, Primates, Cercopithecidae.